CAGAGGUUACUGCUAUSGAGRYUCGACUAAGCCAUGCGAGUUGAAUGUUCUUCGUGAACAUGGCGGACUGCUCAGUAACACGUGGACAACCUACCCUUGGGUCCGGCAUAAUCCUGGGAAACUGGGAAUAAUUCCGGAUAGGUCACCGAUGCUGGAAUGCGCGGUGGCCGAAAGCUCCGGCGCCCGAGGAUGGGUCUGCGGCCUAUCAGGGUUGUAGUGGGUGUAACGUACCUACUAGCCUACGACGGGUACGGGUUGUGAGAGCAAGAGCCCGGAGAUGGAUUCUGAGACACGAAUCCAGGCCCUACGGGGUGCAGCAGGCGCGAAAACUUUACAAUGCGGGAAACCGUGAUAAGGGGAUCUCGAGUGCCAGCAUAUAAUGUUGGCUGUCCAGAUGCCUAAAAAGCAUCUGUUAGCAAGGGCCGGGCAAGACCGGUGCCAGCCGCCGCGGUAACACCGGCGGCCCGAGUGGUAACCGCUAUUAUUGGGUCUAAAGGGUCUGUAGCCGGCCAGGUAAGUCCCUUGGGAAAUCUGGCAGCUCAACUGUCAGGCUGCUAGGGGAUACUGUUUGGCUUGGGACCGGGAGAGGUGAGAGGUACCUUGGGGGUAGGGGUGAAAUCUUGUGAUCCUCGAGGGACCACCAGUGGCGAAGGCGUCUCACCAGAACGGGUCCGACGGUAAGGGACGAAAGCUAGGGGCACGAACCGGAUUAGAUACCCGGGUAGUCCUAGCCGUAAACGAUGCUCGCUAGGUGUCAGUCACGGUGCGACCGUGAUUGGUGCCGUAGGGAAGCCGUGAAGCGAGCCACCUGGGAAGUAUGGCCGCAAGGCUGAAACUUAAAGGAAUUGGCGGGSGAGCACUACAWCGGGUGGAGCCUGCGGUUUAUUG
RNAcentral lists this ribosomal RNA (888 nucleotides) under uncultured Methanosaeta sp. RNAcentral's name for it is "bacterial SSU rRNA". It matches the Rfam family "Archaeal small subunit ribosomal RNA", at positions 18 to 907 of the family's 1478-position model. The record is from RNAcentral. Lineage: Archaea; Methanobacteriati; Methanobacteriota; Methanomicrobia; Methanotrichales; Methanotrichaceae.